Molecule: ribosomal RNA, 1053 nt
Filed under: Triticum aestivum (bread wheat)
Lineage: Eukaryota; Viridiplantae; Streptophyta; Magnoliopsida; Poales; Poaceae
Description: partial small subunit ribosomal RNA
Source: RNAcentral
AUGAAGGAUGAUGGGUAUGGUAUAUUUCUCACUAUUCUUUCAGUAUGUCAUUCUCCUGAUUGGUUGAUUGACACGGGUGCUAAUGUUCAUGUAUGCGGUGAUAUUUCCAUGUUUUCGUCUUAUCAGAUCGCACGGACUUCAACCGUGCUGAUGGGCAAUGGUUCAAGUGUUUUUGUUCGUGGUGUUGGCACGAUCGAUCUGAAGUUUACUUCGGGGAAGAUCGUGCGGCUGAAGAACGUGCAUUAUGUCCCCUCCGUCAAUAAAAAUCUUGUUAGCGGAUCUCUUCUGUGUAGAGAUGGCUACAAGCUUGUCUUUGAGUCGAAUAAAUUUGUAAUAUCCAAGUAUGGAACCUUUGUUGGUAAAGGUUAUGAGUCAGGAGGCCUGUUUCGUUUAUCCUUAUCAGACGUUUGCAAUAAAAUUGUUAAUCAUAUUAGCAACAAUAGUGAAUCAAAUGUGUGGCAUUCACGUCUUUGUCAUGUUAACUUUGGUUGCAUGUCACGACUAGCGAAGUUGAACUUAAUCCCUAGUUUCAUCACUGUCAAGGGAUCUAAGUGUCAAGUGUGUGUGCAAGCUAAGCAACCUCGUAAGUCUCACACGACUGCGAAAACGAGAAAUCUUGAACCACUAGAGCUCAUACAUUCAGAUCUAUGUGAAAUGAAUGGUGUUUUGACAAAAGGUGGAAAGAAAUAUUUCAUGACGUUAAUUGAUGACUCCACUAGAUACUGCCGUGUGUAUCUUCUGAAAUCUAAGGAUGAGGCUUUGAAAUUUUUCAAGAUCUAUAAAGCUGAAGUGGAAAACCAACUUGAUCGGAAAAUAAAGAGGCUUAGGUCCGACCGUGGUGGAGAGUAUUUCUCCAAUGAAUUUGAUGCUUUUUGUGCGGAACAUGGUAUAAUCCAUGAGAGGACGCCUCCCUAUUCACCUCAGUCAAAUGGGGUGGCCGAAAGAAAGAACCGUACUCUAACUGAUUUGGUUAACGCCAUGUUAGACACAUCGGGUCUCUCCAAGGCAUGGUGGGGGGAGGCGAUAUUGACGACAUGUCAUGUCCUAAACUGA